UCUUUCACCUCCUUUGAUUUAUCCUUCUUUUUCUUCUUCUUGGCAGUUUUGGACUCUCCAGAGGCACUUUCCUUCUUUUCGCCCUCUGCAUUGUGCUCUGCAUCUUUUCUUUCUUGAGCAGCAUCACGCGACUGAUCUGGGCCAUUGCUAUCCUUCUGGCUAACUCCAAAAUCAGCCAAAAGGGCCUCUAGCUCUUCAAGUUCCUUCUUCUUCCUUUCCUUCUUUGAAAGUUGCCU
Molecule: unclassified non-coding RNA, 236 nt
Filed under: Hevea brasiliensis (rubber tree)
Lineage: Eukaryota; Viridiplantae; Streptophyta; Magnoliopsida; Malpighiales; Euphorbiaceae
Source: RNAcentral